GGGUUGUGAGGUUAAGCGACUAAGCGUACACGGUGGAUGCCCUGGCAGUCAGAGGCGAUGAAGGACGUGCUAAUCUGCGAAAAGCGUCGGUAAGGUGAUAUGAACCGUUAUAACCGGCGAUGUCCGAAUGGGGAAACCCAGUGCAAUUCGUUGCACUAUCGUUAACUGAAUACAUAGGUUAACGAGGCGAACCGGGGGAACUGAAACAUCUAAGUACCCCGAGGAAAAGAAAUCAACCGAGAUUCCCCCAGUAGCGGCGAGCGAACGGGGAGCAGCCCAGAGUCUGAAUCAGCUUGUGUGUUAGUGGAACGGUCUGGAAAGUCCGACGGUACAGGGUGAUAGUCCCGUACACCAAAAUGCACAGGCUGUGAACUCGAAGAGUAGGGCGGGACACGUGGUAUCCUGUCUGAAUAUGGGGGGACCAUCCUCCAAGGCUAAAUACUCCUGACUGACCGAUAGUGAACCAGUACCGUGAGGGAAAGGCGAAAAGAACCCCGGCGAGGGGAGUGAAAAAGAACCUGAAACCGUGUACGUACAAGCAGUGGGAGCACCUUCGGGUGUGACUGCGUACCUUUUGUAUAAUGGGUCAGCGACUUAUAUUCUGUAGCAAGGUUAACCGUAUAGGGGAGCCGCAGGGAAACCGAGUCUUAACUGGGCGUUAAGUUGCAGGGUAUAGACCCGAAACCCGGUGAUCUAGCCAUGGGCAGGUUGAAGGUUGGGUAACACUAACUGGAGGACCGAACCGACUAAUGUUGAAAAAUUAGCGGAUGACUUGUGGCUGGGGGUGAAAGGCCAAUCAAACCGGGAGAUAGCUGGUUCUCCCCGAAAGCUAUUUAGGUAGCGCCUCGUGAACUCAUCUUCGGGGGUAGAGCACUGUUUCGGCUAGGGGGUCAUCCCGACUUACCAACCCGAUGCAAACUACGAAUACCGAAGAAUGUUAUCACGGGAGACACACGGCGGGUGCUAACGUCCGUCGUGAAGAGGGAAACAACCCAGACCGCCAGCUAAGGUCCCAAAGUCAUGGUUAAGUGGGAAACGAUGUGGGAAGGCACAGACAGCCAGGAUGUUGGCUUAGAAGCAGCCAUCAUUUAAAGAAAGCGUAAUAGCUCACUGGUCGAGUCGGCCUGCGCGGAAGAUGUAACGGGGCUAAACCAUGCACCGAAGCUGCGGCAGCGACACUAUGUGUUGUUGGGUAGGGGAGCGUUCUGUAAGCCUGCGAAGGUGUGCUGUGAGGCAUGCUGGAGGUAUCAGAAGUGCGAAUGCUGACAUAAGUAACGAUAAAGCGGGUGAAAAGCCCGCUCGCCGGAAGACCAAGGGUUCCUGUCCAACGUUAAUCGGGGCAGGGUGAGUCGACCCCUAAGGCGAGGCCGAAAGGCGUAGUCGAUGGGAAACAGGUUAAUAUUCCUGUACUUGGUGUUACUGCGAAGGGGGGACGGAGAAGGCUAUGUUAGCCGGGCGACGGUUGUCCCGGUUUAAGCAUGUAGGCUGGUUGUCCAGGCAAAUCCGGAUAAUCAAGGCUGAGGUGUGAUGACGAGGCACUACGGUGCUGAAGUAACAAAUGCCCUGCUUCCAGGAAAAGCCUCUAAGCAUCAGGUAACAUCAAAUCGUACCCCAAACCGACACAGGUGGUCAGGUAGAGAAUACCAAGGCGCUUGAGAGAACUCGGGUGAAGGAACUAGGCAAAAUGGUGCCGUAACUUCGGGAGAAGGCACGCUGGUGUGUAGGUGAAGCCCCUGCGGGUGGAGCUGAGACCAGUCGAAGAUACCAGCUGGCUGCAACUGUUUAUUAAAAACACAGCACUGUGCAAACACGAAAGUGGACGUAUACGGUGUGACGCCUGCCCGGUGCCGGAAGGUUAAUUGAUGGGGUUAUCCGUAAGGAGAAGCUCUUGAUCGAAGCCCCGGUAAACGGCGGCCGUAACUAUAACGGUCCUAAGGUAGCGAAAUUCCUUGUCGGGUAAGUUCCGACCUGCACGAAUGGCGUAAUGAUGGCCAGGCUGUCUCCACCCGAGACUCAGUGAAAUUGAACUCGCUGUGAAGAUGCAGUGUACCCGCGGCAAGACGGAAAGACCCCGUGAACCUUUACUAUAGCUUGACACUGAACAUUGAGCCUUGAUGUGUAGGAUAGGUGGGAGGCUUUGAAGCGUGGACGCCAGUCUGCGUGGAGCCAACCUUGAAAUACCACCCUUUAAUGUUUGAUGUUCUAACGUUGGCCCCUUACCGGGGUUGCGGACAGUGUCUGGUGGGUAGUUUGACUGGGGCGGUCUCCUCCCAAAGCGUAACGGAGGAGCACGAAGGUUAGCUAAUCCUGGUCGGACAUCAGGAGGUUAGUGCAAUGGCAUAAGCUAGCUUGACUGCGAGCGUGACGGCGCGAGCAGGUGCGAAAGCAGGUCAUAGUGAUCCGGUGGUUCUGAAUGGAAGGGCCAUCGCUCAACGGAUAAAAGGUACUCCGGGGAUAACAGGCUGAUACCGCCCAAGAGUUCAUAUCGACGGCGGUGUUUGGCACCUCGAUGUCGGCUCAUCACAUCCUGGGGCUGAAGUAGGUCCCAAGGGUAUGGCUGUUCGCCAUUUAAAGUGGUACGCGAGCUGGGUUUAGAACGUCGUGAGACAGUUCGGUCCCUAUCUGCCGUGGGCGCUGGAGAAUUGAGGGGGGCUGCUCCUAGUACGAGAGGACCGGAGUGGACGCAUCACUGGUGUUCGGGUUGUCAUGCCAAUGGCACUGCCCGGUAGCUAAAUGCGGAAGAGAUAAGUGCUGAAAGCAUCUAAGCACGAAACUUGCCCCGAGAUGAGUUCUCCCUGAGACUAUAAGUCUCCUGAAGGAACGUUAAAGACGAUGACGUUGAUAGGCCGGGUGUGUAAGCGCAGCGAUGCGUUGAGCUAACCGGUACUAAUGAACCGUGAGGCUUAACCUUACAACGCCGAAG
Molecule: ribosomal RNA, 2923 nt
Filed under: Klebsiella pneumoniae
Lineage: Bacteria; Pseudomonadati; Pseudomonadota; Gammaproteobacteria; Enterobacterales; Enterobacteriaceae
Description: 23S ribosomal RNA
Rfam family: Bacterial large subunit ribosomal RNA
Source: RNAcentral